UGGGGAUGUGGCUCAGUGGUAGAACACUUGCCUAGCUUGCAGGAGGCCUGGUGUUCCAUUCCUAGCACACAA
RNAcentral lists this transfer RNA (72 nucleotides) under Marmota monax (woodchuck). RNAcentral's name for it is "tRNA.Ala". Lineage: Eukaryota; Metazoa; Chordata; Mammalia; Rodentia; Sciuridae. The record is from RNAcentral.